Molecule: long non-coding RNA, 227 nt
Organism: Apis florea (little honeybee)
Lineage: Eukaryota; Metazoa; Arthropoda; Insecta; Hymenoptera; Apidae
Source: RefSeq, a predicted model, not a curated record
AAAAGAAAAGAAAAAAGAAUAAUUUUGUUCAACUGUUUACAAAGUGUGUAAAGUAAUAGUUUAAAAAACUUCGCCAAAGAGUGACCACGUAUAUCGUCCUUCCCGCGAUAUUUUUUUAUUAACAAUCAAAGAACAAUCGUGUGCCUGUCGCUGCUAGCAGAGAGAGAGAGAGAGAGAGAGAGAGAGAGAGAGAGAGUGAGAGAGAAUCGUGCUCGUUCCGCUUCUGA